RNAcentral lists this ribosomal RNA (655 nucleotides) under Achromobacter sp. RNAcentral's name for it is "bacterial SSU rRNA". It matches the Rfam family "Bacterial small subunit ribosomal RNA", at positions 398 to 1043 of the family's 1533-position model. Lineage: Bacteria; Pseudomonadati; Pseudomonadota; Betaproteobacteria; Burkholderiales; Alcaligenaceae. The record is from RNAcentral.
CGCGUUGUGCGAUGAAGGCCUUCGGGUUGUAAAGCACUUUUGGCAGGAAAGAAACGUCCCGGGCUAAUACCCUGGGAAACUGACGGUACCUGCAGAAUAAGCACCGGCUAACUACGUGCCAGCAGCCGCGGUAAUACGUAGGGUGCAAGCGUUAAUCGGAAUUACUGGGCGUAAAGCGUGCGCAGGCGGUUCGGAAAGAAAGAUGUGAAAUCCCAGAGCUUAACUUUGGAACUGCAUUUUUAACUACCGAGCUAGAGUGUGUCAGAGGGAGGUGGAAUUCCGCGUGUAGCAGUGAAAUGCGUAGAUAUGCGGAGGAACACCGAUGGCGAAGGCAGCCUCCUGGGAUAACACUGACGCUCAUGCACGAAAGCGUGGGGAGCAAACAGGAUUAGAUACCCUGGUAGUCCACGCCCUAAACGAUGUCAACUAGCUGUUGGGGCCUUCGGGCCUUGGUAGCGCAGCUAACGCGUGAAGUUGACCGCCUGGGGAGUACGGUCGCAAGAUUAAAACUCAAAGGAAUUGACGGGGACCCGCACAAGCGGUGGAUGAUGUGGAUUAAUUCGAUGCAACGCGAAAAACCUUACCUACCCUUGACAUGUCUGGAAUGCCGAAGAGAUUUGGCAGUGCUCGCAAGAGAACCUGAACACAGAUUGAC